This is a long non-coding RNA of Ictalurus furcatus (blue catfish), 294 nucleotides long. RefSeq lists it as uncharacterized. The transcript has 3 exons. Lineage: Eukaryota; Metazoa; Chordata; Actinopteri; Siluriformes; Ictaluridae. The record is from RefSeq and is a predicted model, not a curated record.
GUUUGAUUUAACACACUGAUGUUGGAGUGAAGUAAACGUGUGUCCUGCUGUAAUCUGGAGAAGGAGACAUGAACUCCAACAUGAGUGUGUCUGGAGAACAGGACUUAAAGAAAGACGAGAGAAUGAUGGAGGGAAAGAGAUCAGACUCACCAGAACCCAGCUGUGUGUCCAUGAAGAGUGACCAGUCAAUGGGGCAUCCAAAUAACUUCAGAGACGGAGCCAGUUCUCCUGAUGUGAGACCACAAAAGAAGAAAUCAAACAUCAGCAGAAAUCAGCUGGACUCCAUAUUCAAGG